GCGUUCGUAGCUCAGUUGGUUAGAGCACCACCUUGACAUGGUGGGGGUCGUUGGUUCGAGUCCGAUCGAACGCACCA
This 77-nucleotide transfer RNA is filed under the name Klebsiella pneumoniae. RNAcentral's name for it is "tRNA-Val". It matches the Rfam family "tRNA". From Rfam's summary of the family: Transfer RNA (tRNA) molecules are approximately 80 nucleotides in length. Their secondary structure includes four short double-helical elements and three loops (D, anti-codon, and T loops). Lineage: Bacteria; Pseudomonadati; Pseudomonadota; Gammaproteobacteria; Enterobacterales; Enterobacteriaceae. The record is from RNAcentral.